Molecule: long non-coding RNA, 823 nt
Organism: Gadus macrocephalus (Pacific cod)
Lineage: Eukaryota; Metazoa; Chordata; Actinopteri; Gadiformes; Gadidae
Exons: 3
Source: RefSeq, a predicted model, not a curated record
GAGAUCUUGCACAAAGGAUAAAUCCUGGAGAAUGGACAGAGAAAACUGGGUACCAUUUUGAGUUGACCUUGUAUGUUGCACUUGAUGCUCCCUUCGACUACACCAUACCAUGGCAAGCUUUUUGCACACUCGACCAAUGAAUCCAUGGAUCUCCUAAAAGGUCAUCGGCAGCCUGUGAUGUGUCUGAGGAAGCACACGUUAGAGGAGAAGGAUGUAAUAGGUUGCCUUUCAUAGAAUUUCUGGUCAUAAACACAGAUGAUGGUUGCGUUUACAUUUGAUGGAUGAAAUAGUAGACAUUGUGACAAGAAGAUUAUUGGCUUUUAUUAGUAACACCUGUGCUUACCUUGCUACUUCCUGGAAAACUGGCUGCUGCAACAUGGGUCCAUAAUUAAAAUAGUAUGAACACACUAUACUGACUUUUGCACGUAGAAUCACUGCCAUCAACAGUAAGACUUAGCCAGGCAGUGCCUCCUAGUGGCUCCACAUUUCGUUCCACCACAUACGAAGUGAAAGUGGAUGGUCAUAUCAGGAUAAGUAAGACCCCCCUCAUAACAUACACAGCACCCUGGCCCCCCUAACCUGUUAUUACCAGUAAGAUCCCCCCCAUCAUACAGUACACUACCCCCCCACCCCUGCCACAACAGCUCUGCCCAUCCUCAGUAAGCCCCCCCGCCUUUCAUUCUUCGUAAAUUAGUCCCAUCGUCCACCACCCUACUCCCUUCUGUAUCGAAACCCCCAUGUUGUAUUCCCUUGAAUCUGAAACUAUUGUACAAAGUGCAAUUCACAAUAAACAUGAAAAUACCUGUUGUAACUCUGCCUUUGU